CACUCCUACGGGGAGGCAGCAGUAGGGAAUCUUCCACAAUGGGCGCAAGCCUGAUGGAGCAACACCGCGUGAGUGAAGAAGGGUUUCGGCUCGUAAAGCUCUGUCGUUAAAGAAGAACACGUAUGAGAGUAACUGUUCAUACGUUGACGGUAUUUAACCAGAAAGUCACGGCUAACUACGUGCCAGCAGCCGCGGUAAUACGUAGGUGGCAAGCGUUAUCCGGAUUUAUUGGGCGUAAAGAGAGUGCAGGCGGUUUUCUAAGUCUGAUGUGAAAGCCUUCGGCUUAACCGGAGAAGUGCAUCGGAAACUGGAUAACUUGAGUGCAGAAGAGGGUAGUGGAACUCCAUGUGUAGCGGUGGAAUGCGUAGAUAUAUGGAAGAACACCAGUGGCGAAGGCGGCUACCUGGUCUGCAACUGACGCUGAGACUCGAAAGCAUGGGUAGCGAACAGGAUUAGAUACCCUGGUAG
Molecule: ribosomal RNA, 468 nt
Filed under: uncultured bacterium
Lineage: Bacteria
Description: bacterial SSU rRNA
Rfam family: Bacterial small subunit ribosomal RNA
Source: RNAcentral